Molecule: unclassified non-coding RNA, 179 nt
Filed under: uncultured fungus
Lineage: Eukaryota; Fungi
Description: sequence contains ITS1
Source: RNAcentral
GUAUUUUGAAUUGUUUAUUCAUAAUAUUUUUCAGACAAAGAGUUAAAAGAUAAAGGUUGAUGUUUGGUCGAUCUCCAAGAAGAUCGACUGACAUUGCACACAAGGUGGAUAUGGAUUUUUAAAAAGUGCCAUAAAACACUUUAUUAUGAAUGAUCCUUCCGCAGGUUCACCUACGGAAA